GGCGGAAUGCCUUUCACAUGCAAGUCGAACGGCAGCAUAGAGAGCUUGCUCUCUGAUGGCGAGUGGCGAACGGGUGAGUAAUAUAUCGGAACGUGCCUAGUAAUGGGGAAUAACUAGCUGAAAGGUUAGCUAAUGCCGCAUACGACCUACGGGUGAAAGCAGGGGAUCUUCGGACCUUGCGUUAUUAGAGCGGCCGAUAUCUGAUUAGCUUGUUGGUGGGGUAAUGGCCUACCAAGGCGACGAUCAGUAGCUGGUCUGAGAGGACGAUCAGCCACACUGGAACUGAGACACGGUCCAGACUCCUACGGGAGGCAGCAGUGGGGAAUUUUGGACAAUGGGGGCAACCCUGAUCCAGCCAUUCCGCGUGAGUGAAGAAGGCCUUCGGGUUGUAAAGCUCUUUCGCAAGAGAAGAAAACUUGCUAUCUAAUAAAUAGUAAGUAUGACGGUAUCUUGACAAGAAGCACCGGCUAACUACGUGCCAGCAGCCGCGGUAAUACGUAGGGUGCAAGCGUUAAUCGGAAUUACUGGGCGUAAAGCGUGCGCAGGCAGUUUUAUAAGUCAGAUGUGAAAUCCCCGAGCUCAACUUGGGAACUGCGUUUGAAACUGUAAGACUAGAGUGUGUCAGAGGGGGGUAGAAUUCCAAGUGUAGCAGUGAAAUGCGUAGAGAUUUGGAGGAAUACCAAUGGCGAAGGCAGCCCCCUGGGAUAACACUGACGCUCAUGGCACGAAAGCGUGGGGAGCAAACAGGAUUAGAUACCCUGGGUAGUCCACGCCCUAAACGAUGUCUACUAGUUGGUUGGUGGAGUAAAAUCCAUGAGUACGCCAGCUAACGCGUGAAGUA
This 841-nucleotide ribosomal RNA is filed under the name uncultured beta proteobacterium. RNAcentral describes it as "bacterial SSU rRNA". It matches the Rfam family "Bacterial small subunit ribosomal RNA", at positions 38 to 866 of the family's 1533-position model. The record is from RNAcentral. Lineage: Bacteria; Pseudomonadati; Pseudomonadota; Betaproteobacteria.